UCGGACGUGGUGCAGGGCGCACACCCGCUUUCACGGACUUCAGGCGGGAGCACCGGGUUCGAUUCCCGGCGUCCGAA
Molecule: non-coding RNA, 77 nt
Organism: Mycena vitilis
Lineage: Eukaryota; Fungi; Basidiomycota; Agaricomycetes; Agaricales; Mycenaceae
Source: the annotation of a GenBank genome assembly